UAAGUGUGCAUUGCUCAAGUGUACCAUUAGAAGACAUGACUUCAGUGUAUCCUUCUUCACAACUGCAUGUCCUCAUCUGCAGGAGAACAAGAGGAUUUCUACACAUAUAAGGAAGACUUUCAAAAACCAAAGAAAUUUGGCGGUUUACCUGUUACAUUUAUACCAUCUGACCUUUGACACCAGACUGUUCGGGAAGAACCUUUCCAAGCACUGGCCAUCCAUUUGUAUUCAUAACACUGUCCAUCUGCAGGGACACAAUAAACAUGAACAGAAGCAUUCUGCUGUCUAGAAGGACAAUCGUGGGGAAAGUAUAUUAGGAAAAUAUUUAUAAACAACUGAAAAGUGGUGAAUCCAUCUCAAAAAUGAUUCGAAUGUUACUGUCCUAAAAUUACCAUAGAAAUGUUAUAAAAUUCCCGAUACAUUCCUAAAUCCCAACUAAUGUUUUAUGUCCACUGUCAUAUCUGAUGUGAACUUGGAUUUUUAAUAUAAUGUAACGUUCAAAGUAUUAUAAAAUAUCAAAUUUACAUACAGGGGCAAAUAAUAACAAAAAAUGUUCAAUUACUUAAGCAGUUUUAACAAAUACUACCAUUUAGACAUGUUUGCUUUAGUUUUCUUUUGUCUGUUGGGGAGUGAAAAAUAAGAUGAAUGUGAUGUCCUAUUAUUAGGUCCUCUUCCUGUUGUAAUAUUCCUCCAUAUCUAUCCAGCAAAAGCCACUAUUUUAAAGUAGAUACAUAGAUUCCUUUGCCAUGUUUUUUAUUCUUUUAAUAUAAUACAUUAUAUGAGGUAUGUAUAUAUCCAUAAAAUACAGCACAUCUGGUCCUCAAACAACAUGGAGGUUAGGGGCAUGUACCCCUAUGCAGUCUAAAGUCUGUGUAGAACUUUGACUCCCCAAAAUUUAAACAGCCUACGGCUGACCGGAAGCCUUACUGAUAGUCAGUUAACACAUACUUUGUAUUAUCUGUGUUAUGUACUAUGUGCUUAAAAUAAAGAAAACCAUAAGGAAGAGAAAGUAUAGUUACUGUAUUUCUAUUAAAAAAAUCCACAAGUAGACCUGCAGGAUUCAAACCAUGUCGUUCAAAGGUCAACUGGAUUAUUAAAAAUUCUAAAAGUAUACUGUAUGUAUCAAUCUGAGACAUUCAGUAUUGUAGAAGAAGUAUUUCCAUGUGAUUUUUUUUAUAAUGUAGCUCUGGUCUUAUUUAACUGCUAUAUAAAAUUCCACUGUACUAAAUGCCA
Molecule: long non-coding RNA, 1233 nt
Organism: Leopardus geoffroyi (Geoffroy's cat)
Lineage: Eukaryota; Metazoa; Chordata; Mammalia; Carnivora; Felidae
Exons: 2
Source: RefSeq, a predicted model, not a curated record